UACGUAGGGUGCGAGCGUUGUCCGGAAUUAUUGGGCGUAAAGAGCUUGUAGGCGGUCUGUCGCGUCUGCUGUGAAAAUCCGGGGCUCAACCCCGGACUUGCAGUGGGUACGGGCAGACUAGAGUGUGGUAGGGGAGACUGGAAUUCCCGGUGUAGCGGUGAAAUGCGCAGAUAUCAGGAGGAACACCGAUGGCGAAGGCAGGUCUCUGGGCCACUACUGACGCUGAGAAGCGAAAGCAUGGGGAGCGAACAGG
This 253-nucleotide ribosomal RNA is filed under the name uncultured bacterium. RNAcentral's name for it is "partial 16S ribosomal RNA". It matches the Rfam family "Bacterial small subunit ribosomal RNA", at positions 524 to 776 of the family's 1533-position model. The record is from RNAcentral.